CAGCCGCCACGGUAAUACAGAGGGUGCGAGCGUUAAUCGGAUUUACUGGGCGUAAAGCGUGCGUAGGCGGCUUCUUAAGUCGGAUGUGAAAUCCCUGAGCUUAACUUAGGAAUUGCAUUCGAUACUGGGAAGCUAGAGUAUGGGAGAGGAUGGUAGAAUUCCAGGUGUAGCGGUGAAAUGCGUAGAGAUCUGUAGGAAUACCGAUGGCGAAGGCAGCCAUCUGGCCUAAUACUGACGCUGAGGUACGAAAGCAUGGGGAGCAAACAGGAUUAGAUACCCCCGUAGUCCCUGUCUCUUAUAC
Molecule: ribosomal RNA, 301 nt
Filed under: uncultured bacterium
Lineage: Bacteria
Description: partial 16S ribosomal RNA
Rfam family: Bacterial small subunit ribosomal RNA
Source: RNAcentral